GACAAACUCCGAAUGCCAAUUAAUUUAACUUGGGAGUCAGAACAUGGGUGAUAAGGUCCGUGUUCGAAAGGGAAACAGCCCAGACCACCAGCUAAGGUCCCAAAAUAUAUGUUAAGUGGAAAAGGAUGUGGCGUUGCCCAGACAACUAGGAUGUUGGCUUAGAAGCAGCCAUCAUUUAAAGAGUGCGUAAUAGCUCACUAGUCGAGUGACACUGCGCCGAAAAUGUACCGGGGCUAAACAUAUUACCGAAGCUGUGGAUUGUCCUUUGGACAAUGGUAGGAGAGCGUUCUAAGGGCGUUGAAGCAUGAUCGUAAGGACAUGUGGAGCGCUUAGAAGUGAGAAUGCCGGUGUGAGUAGCGAAAGACGGGUGAGAAUCCCGUCCACCGAUUGACUAAGGUUUCCAGAGGAAGGCUCGUCCGCUCUGGGUUAGUCGGGUCCUAAGCUGAGGCCGACAGGCGUAGGCGAUGGAUAACAGGUUGAUAUUCCUGUACCACCUAUAAUCGUUUUAAUCGAUGGGGGGACGCAGUAGGAUAGGCGAAGCGUGCGAUUGGAUUGCACGUCUAAGCAGUAAGGCUGAGUAUUAGGCAAAUCCGGUACUCGUUAAGGCUGAGCUGUGAUGGGGAGAAGACAUUGUGUCUUCGAGUCGUUGAUUUCACACUGCCGAGAAAAGCCUCUAGAUAGAAAAUAGGUGCCCGUACCGCAAACCGACACAGGUAGUCAAGAUGAGAAUUCUAAGGUGAGCGAGCGAACUCUCGUUAAGGAACUCGGCAAAAUGACCCCGUAACUUCGGGAGAAGGGGUGCUCUUUAGGGUUAACGCCCAGAAGAGCCGCAGUGAAUAGGCCCAAGCGACUGUUUAUCAAAAACACAGGUCUCUGCUAAACCGUAAGGUGAUGUAUAGGGGCUGACGCCUGCCCGGUGCUGGAAGGUUAAGAGGAGUGGUUAGCUUCUGCGAAGCUACGAAUCGAAGCCCCAGUAAACGGCGGCCGUAACUAUAACGGUCCUAAGGUAGCGAAAUUCCUUGUCGGGUAAGUUCCGACCCGCACGAAAGGCGUAACGAUUUGGGCACUGUCUCAACGAGAGACUCGGUGAAAUCAUAGUACCUGUGAAGAUGCAGGUUACCCGCGACAGGACGGAAAGACCCCGUGGAGCUUUACUGUAGCCUGAUAUUGAAAUUCGGCACAGCUUGUACAGGAUAGGUAGGAGCCUUUGAAACGUGAGCGCUAGCUUACGUGGAGGCGCUGGUGGGAUACUACCCUAGCUGUGUUGGCUUUCUAACCCGCACCACUUAUCGUGGUGGGAGACAGUGUCA
Molecule: ribosomal RNA, 1310 nt
Filed under: Staphylococcus aureus M0160
Lineage: Bacteria; Bacillati; Bacillota; Bacilli; Caryophanales; Staphylococcaceae
Description: bacterial LSU rRNA
Rfam family: Bacterial large subunit ribosomal RNA
Source: RNAcentral